UUGUUAUUGAGUUUUUCUUUUGGAUUCGAUAGGGACACAUUCGUGAACCGCACAUCGAUGCACGACACAUCGACUCAUCAACACAGCAUACUUUCGAGAAUUUCUAUCUUGUGGCAUAAUAACGACAUGAGAGAUAAUGAAUCUUCGUUUAAUCUGAUUAGGAAAUAGAUGUAUGUAUUGAAUGCGAGUUUCAUGAAGGACCCAAUAAAUAUAGAUUGAUGAAAGCAUA
Long non-coding RNA from Actinia tenebrosa (Australian red waratah sea anemone), 229 nucleotides. NCBI's taxonomy places the organism in Eukaryota, Metazoa, Cnidaria, Anthozoa, Actiniaria, Actiniidae. The record is from RefSeq and is a predicted model, not a curated record.